UUAUUAGUUUUUUAUUUUUUAUUAUUUUGUUUUUAUAUAAUUUUUUAUAUUUUAGUAUUAUUAAGAAAUAAUUUAUUUAUUUUGACUGUAAAGGUUUAUUUUUAAUAUUUUGGUUAUAUUUUUAGUACCUUUUGUAUCAGGGUUAAUUUAUUUAUUAAUCUAUUUUAUAUUCCCGAAUUAAAGAUAAUUAAAAUUAAAUUUUUUUUUUAUGUUGUAUAUUAUUAAUAAAUUUAUUUUUAGUAGUUAAAAGUUAUUCGUUCUUUAAAUAUAUCUGGUUUCUUAGGAAUUAAAUUUAAUUUAGACUUAUUAAUUAAGUUUAUAUAAUUAGGGAUAAUCUUAAUUUUUUGUUAAAAUUUAUUUAAUUUUAUUUUUAUUUUUCUUAGAAUCUGUUAAUUAAGUUCGUAAUAGAUUUGAAUUUUUAUUUAAGAUUUUUUUUUAUUUAUCUUAUUACUUGGAUUUUUUAUUAAAUUUUUAUUUAAAAAUUAUUUAUGAUUAAAUUAGUAUAAUUUUUAUUUAUUUAUUUAUGAAUUCGACAAUUUUAAUUUUCAACUGUUUAUCAAAAACAUUUCUUUAAGUAAAAAAUUUAAGGUAGGUUCUGCCCUAUGAUUUUAAAUAAUUUAAAUGGCUGCAGUAUUUUGACUGUGCAAAGGUAGCAUAAUAAUUAGCUUCUUAAUUAGGGGCUUGUAUGAAUGAAUUAAUGAGAAAUUUAUUUUAUUAUAUUUAUUAUUAUAAUUUAAUUUUUAGGUUAAAAAGCUUAACUGUAAAUUUGGGACGAUAAGACCCUAUAGAACUUGAAUUUGUUUAAUUAUGUGUGUAUUAGAUUUAUUUAUAAAUUUAAAUUGAAUUAAAUUUUUACUGGGGUGGUAGAUAAAUUUUUAACUUUAUUUUUUUUUUUCACUUAUUUGUGAUUUUUUGAUCCAUUAUUAAUAUGAUGAAAGAUUAAGUUACCUUAGGGAUAACAGCGUAAUUUUAAUGGAAAGUUCAUAUUUAUAUUAAAGUUUGCGACCUCGAUGUUGAAUUAAGAUUAAGUUAAGGGGUAGGUUCUUUAAAUUUGGGUCUGUUCGACCUUUAAAAUCUUACAUGAUUUGAGUUCAAACCGGUGUAAGCCAGGUUGGUUUCUAUCUAAUUUUAAAGCUAUAUUUAAUUAGUACGAAAGGACCAUUAAGUUUCAUAUUAUGAUUAUAUAUUGAAUUUUAUU
Molecule: ribosomal RNA, 1198 nt
Filed under: Idioscopus clypealis
Lineage: Eukaryota; Metazoa; Arthropoda; Insecta; Hemiptera; Cicadellidae
Description: 16S ribosomal RNA
Rfam family: Archaeal large subunit ribosomal RNA (bases 955-1113)
Source: RNAcentral